Molecule: ribosomal RNA, 484 nt
Filed under: uncultured bacterium
Lineage: Bacteria
Description: partial 16S ribosomal RNA
Rfam family: Bacterial small subunit ribosomal RNA
Source: RNAcentral
AUUGAACGCUGGCGGCAGGCCUAACACAUGCAAGUCGAGCGGAUGAAGGGAGCUUGCUCCUGGAUUCAGCGGCGGACGGGUGAGUAAUGCCUAGGAAUCUGCCUGGUAGUGGGGGAUAACGUCCGGACACGGGCGCUAAUACCGCAUACGUCCUGAGGGAGAAAGUGGGGGAGCUUCGGACCUCACGCUAUCAGAUGAGCCUAGGUCGGAUUAGCUAGUUGGUGGGGUAAAGGCCUACCAAGGCGACGAUCCGUAACUGGUCUGAGAGGAUGAUCAGUCACACUGGAACUGAGACACGGUCCAGACUCCUACGGGAGGCAGCAGUGGGGAAUAUUGGACAAUGGGCGAAAGCCUGAUCCAGCCAUGCCGCGUGUGUGAAGAAGGUCUUCGGAUUGUAAAGCACUUUAAGUUGGGAGGAAGGGCAGUAAGUUAAUACCUUGCUGUUUUGACGUUACCAACAGAAUAAGCACCGGCUAACUUCGUG